Molecule: ribosomal RNA, 465 nt
Filed under: Vreelandella stevensii
Lineage: Bacteria; Pseudomonadati; Pseudomonadota; Gammaproteobacteria; Oceanospirillales; Halomonadaceae
Description: partial 16S ribosomal RNA
Rfam family: Bacterial small subunit ribosomal RNA
Source: RNAcentral
CCUACGGGAGGCUGCAGUGGGGAAUAUUGGACAAUGGGGGGAACCCUGAUCCAGCCAUGCCGCGUGUGUGAAGAAGGCCCUCGGGUUGUAAAGCACUUUCAGUGAGGAAGAACGCCUGGUGGUUAAUACCCAUCAGGAAAGACAUCACUCACAGAAGAAGCACCGGCUAACUCCGUGCCAGCAGCCGCGGUAAUACGGAGGGUGCGAGCGUUAAUCGGAAUUACUGGGCGUAAAGCGCGCGUAGGUGGCUUGAUAAGCCGGUUGUGAAGGCCCCGGGCUCAACCUGGGAACGGCAUCCGGAACUGUCAAGCUAGAGUGCAGGAGAGGAAGGUAGAAUUCCCGGUGUAGCGGUGAAAUGCGUAGAGAUCGGGAGGAAUACCAGUGGCGAAGGCGGCCUUCUGGACUGACACUGACACUGAGGUGCGAAAGCGUGGGUAGCAAACAGGAUUAGAUACCCUGGUAGUC